Molecule: unclassified non-coding RNA, 377 nt
Filed under: uncultured bacterium
Lineage: Bacteria
Description: contains 16S-23S intergenic spacer region
Source: RNAcentral
UCCGGUUUGACACCGGCAGUCUCCUUAGAGUGCCCAACUAAAUGAUGGCAACUAAGGAUAAGGGUUGCGCUCGUUGCGGGACUUAACCCAACAUUUCACAACACGAGCUGACGACGGCCAUGCAGCACCUGUCACUUGGCUCCCGAGGGCACCCCGCUGUUUCCAGCAGGUUCCAUGGAUGUCAAGCCUGGGUAAGGUUCUACGCGUAGCGUCAUAUUAAACCACAUCAUCCUCUGCUUGUGCGGGUCCCCGUCAAUUCCUUUGAGUUUUAGCCUUGCGGCCGUACUUCCCAGGCGGCAUACUUAUCGCGUUAGCUGCGUCUCACAGGGGGUCGAUACCCCAUAAGACUAGUAUGCAUCGUUUACGGCGUGGACUAC